Molecule: non-coding RNA, 58 nt
Organism: Salmo salar (Atlantic salmon)
Lineage: Eukaryota; Metazoa; Chordata; Actinopteri; Salmoniformes; Salmonidae
Source: Rfam
UGUCUCAGUUGGGAGAGUAUGGCACUUGCAAUGCCAGGGUUGUGGGUUCGAUUCCCAU